This 707-nucleotide ribosomal RNA is filed under the name Aspergillus sp. FSDE16. RNAcentral's name for it is "eukaryotic LSU rRNA". The stretch from base 218 to 371 matches the Rfam family "5.8S ribosomal RNA". The record is from RNAcentral. Lineage: Eukaryota; Fungi; Ascomycota; Eurotiomycetes; Eurotiales; Aspergillaceae.
CUUCCGUAGGUGAACCUGCGGAAGGAUCAUUACCGAGUGAGGGCCCUCUGGGUCCAACCUCCCACCCGUGUCUAUCGUACCUUGUUGCUUCGGCGGGCCCGCCGUUUCGACGGCCGCCGGGGAGGCCUUGCGCCCCCGGGCCCGCGCCCGCCGAAGACCCCAACAUGAACGCUGUUCUGAAAGUAUGCAGUCUGAGUUGAUUAUCGUAAUCAGUUAAAACUUUCAACAACGGAUCUCUUGGUUCCGGCAUCGAUGAAGAACGCAGCGAAAUGCGAUAAGUAAUGUGAAUUGCAGAAUUCAGUGAAUCAUCGAGUCUUUGAACGCACAUUGCGCCCCCUGGUAUUCCGGGGGGCAUGCCUGUCCGAGCGUCAUUGCUGCCCUCAAGCACGGCUUGUGUGUUGGGCCCCCGUCCCCCUCUCCCGGGGGACGGGCCCGAAAGGCAGCGGCGGCACCGCGUCCGGUCCUCGAGCGUAUGGGGCUUUGUCACCUGCUCUGUAGGCCCGGCCGGCGCCAGCCGACACCCAACUUUAUUUUUCUAAGGUUGACCUCGGAUCAGGUAGGGAUUCCCGCUGAACUUAAGCAUAUCAAUAANCGGAGGAAGAUCNUUACCGAGUGAGGGNCCUNUGGGUCCNACUCCACCCGUGNCUAUCGUACUUGUUGCUUNCGCGGGCCGCCGUUUUCAGNGCCGCNGGGNAGUGCUUGGCCCG